This 2338-nucleotide long non-coding RNA is filed under the name Homo sapiens (human). RNAcentral's name for it is "non-protein coding lnc-MTERF4-6:4". Lineage: Eukaryota; Metazoa; Chordata; Mammalia; Primates; Hominidae. The record is from RNAcentral.
GGGCGCGCGGGGAGCUCAGUCCCCUGGCGUGGGCACAGGCAAGGUGAGGGCUCUGCGGGCGCGCGCCCUGUGGUGGGGCCAUGCUCCGCCCUGGGUCCCUACCCUGGUGGAGGCGCCUGGGCCCUCAGUGCCGUCCUGGGACAGACCUGUGUCCCUAAGGCCUGAGACGCUGGGCCCGCCCUGAAGGCGUGUCAUCACGCGGGGGGCGGGAGGGGACCCUGGCCAGGCAGUGCCUGAAUGAACCCGUUCCGUGCUGCCCCCUUCCCAGCCCUGAGCAUGGGGACGCCAGGCUUCCAGCCACAGGGGCAGACUAACCCCGGAGCCCACUCCCUGCCUGGGUCUGUGUGAGGAAGAGCCCGGGCCGGAGACUAGGAGGCAUGGAACAAAGUGUUUGCAUCUGCGUGGCCGCAUCAGGAGAAAUUCCUGGGAGGCUCGGGACCUCGGGGCGACCCCUGGGUAAAGCAAACCCUCCGUGGGGAAGACUGACCCACUCAGGCCCUGGGGGCAAGUGCGUGCAUGACACCGGCCUUGGCAGGUGGGGGCAGGACUCUGAGUCCCAGUAUUUGAAUUCAGGGUCCCCACCCUGUGGCCUGCCAGCCCUGCCCCCUGUCUCUUGGGCUGCUGGCCUGGGCUGCCUGUCUGUCCUUCCUCAGGGCCUCAGCCGGGACCACCUCUAUGUCCCCAGGCCCAUGGCAGGGUCUGAUUCCUGGAACUCACCCGGCCCACCGUGGUCUCUUCUCUUAGAUCCUGGUGUUGGGUGGUGUUGGCUGCGUGCCACACUGGGGCCCCCAAAGAUAAGAGUGCACCCCUCGAAGACAAGCAGGAAAGGCCGGGCUGAUGGUAACUGCAUCUACCACUGAGGUGCUGGGUGGUUUUUUGUUUGUCUUUGCGUUUGUAUCUUCUGAAAUAUCUCAAGUGAGCACGUGUUGUUUUUCAGUGAGAGCCAGGCACAGUCAAUGUUAUUUUUAAGAAGCAGCGGAGGGUUCUCUGCGUGUGACUGGGUGUUGCCGGUUCUCACAGAUCCUGCACUUGGUGUUUUCACUCAGAGGUUCAUGACCCUUUAGACUUGGUGUCAGGGCCGGGUGCAGAAUUGUUAAGGAGGAGCUGACCCUGCACUGGCACCUCCUGAAAGCUUGCCCCUGGCGCCUCUCCCACCCUGCAUGGGGUGGCAAUUCUGUUUGCAGAGAGGCAAACUGGGCCUGGGAGGGGAAGGGCUCUGUCCCGCAGUUAGCCCUUAGGUCACCGUCCCAGCUUUCAGAGCUCCAGGACAGCAGCACAGCCAUGGUUCCAGGGCCAGAAAGGUCAAGGCCUCCUGUCUUUGGAGGGAGGCACCAGAGAGGGCGUGGAACUGUAGAAUCCCUACUUGAGGCCGGCUCUCGGUGAGAGCCUGGCAAGGAGAGACAUGUCUCCACGCACAUGCACACACGUCCACGCACACAUGCAUACUUAUUCACAUGCACGGAGGCAGCAUAUGCCCAUACGUGGGGCCUCAAGAACAUGCUUUAACCCCUUCCUCAGCCCAGCCCUGGCCUCCCUGGUCAGGGAGGGCUGCUCCCACCUCUGGCUGGCACAGGCCGUGGAGUCAGGACAAGGCCCCAUGUAGCAGCGUUGGGAACAGAGCUGCCAGGCGUCACCGUGGCGGGAAUCAGGGAGAACGCUUUUCUAUUUGUCUUUUUUCUAGAAAAACCUGGCAGCCCUCUACCCUCUUUUCAGUGCAUUUGGGGCCUGGCUGGAAGGCCCCUCCGGUGAGUUUGCGAAGGUGGGAGGCGGCAGUGCCAACCCCAGGGCAGGAUUUCUCCGCUGAAGAGGUGUUGUCAUGGGGACGUGAGGCUUUGACCCCCACUAGGGCUGGCCCACCUCCUGCCCUGUCCCUACUACCCAUCCACUUCCCACCACAUGCUCCUGCUCUGCUCUCAGAGCCCAGCCUGGGGUGCUGCCUCCCAGCCAGCUGCCCAGGCCAGGCGCCCUUCUCCCCACUGCUGACCUUCUCUUGAGCACACAAGACAGGGACCUGGGUAACAACCCAUUUCUGGGCUGGGUUUGGGUCAACUUGGGGGCAGGGCCGCCCAGGGCACCUUGGGGCACACAGUGGCACUCAGUGGCUGCACCGAGUGGAGGCCUGUUUCUUCAGGCGGGUGGGCUGGUGGGCCUCACGGGGGUCGCUGAGCAGUGCUGGAAACGCUCAGGCCCGUCCUCGUCCCAGAGAGUCAGAGCUCAUGGGCCUGGGGCGUGGCUGGCAGUGGGCCAGACCCUGCUCAUGGCCCAGAGAGGCCACACUUCCUCGGGCCUGUACCCUGCUGACCAGCCUCGGCCUGCACCCUGUGCAGAUUUUCAGCCG